UGGUGGAGUGAUUUGUCUGGUUAAUUCCGUUAACGAACGAGACCUUAGCCUACUAACUAGUCGAUUCAACCUUUGUUGAUUCCGACUUCUUAGAGGGACUUUGUGACUAAACACAAGGAAGUUUGAGGCAAUAACA
RNAcentral lists this ribosomal RNA (136 nucleotides) under uncultured eukaryote. RNAcentral describes it as "partial 18S ribosomal RNA". It matches the Rfam family "Eukaryotic small subunit ribosomal RNA", at positions 1299 to 1458 of the family's 1831-position model. The record is from RNAcentral.